GAUGAACGCUGGCGGCGUGCCUAAUACAUGCAAGUCGAGCGAACAGACCAGGAGCUUGCUCCUCUGACGUUAGCGGCGGACGGGUGCGUAACACGUGGAUAACCUACCUAUACGACUGGGAUACCUUCGGGAAACCGGAUCUACUACCGGAUAAUAUAUUGAACCGCAUUGUUCAAUAGUUGAAUAAGGUUUUUCUUUCACUUAUAGAUGAAUACGCGCCGCAUUAGCUAGUUGGUAAGGUAACGGCUUACCAACGCAACGAUGGGUAACCGACCCGAGAGGGAGAUCGGCCACACGGGAACUGAGAAAGGUCACACACACCGAGGGUGAGAAGCAGUAGGGAAUCUUACGCGAUGGGGGAAUGGCUGAUGGAGCAAAGCGGCGGGAGGGAUGAUGGUGUUAGGAUGGGAAAACUCUGUAAUUAGGAAAGAAGAAAUGUGUAAGUAACUAUGAACGUAUUGACGGUACCGAAUGAGAAAGCCACGGCUAACUCCGUG
Molecule: ribosomal RNA, 497 nt
Filed under: uncultured bacterium
Lineage: Bacteria
Description: partial 16S ribosomal RNA
Rfam family: Bacterial small subunit ribosomal RNA
Source: RNAcentral